This 244-nucleotide ribosomal RNA is filed under the name uncultured bacterium. Its description in RNAcentral is "partial 16S ribosomal RNA". It matches the Rfam family "Bacterial small subunit ribosomal RNA", at positions 524 to 767 of the family's 1533-position model. The record is from RNAcentral.
UACGUAGGGUGCGAGCGUUAAUCGGAAUUACUGGGCGUAAAGCGUGCGCAGGCGGCUUUGCAAGACAGAUGUGAAAUCCCCGGGCUCAACCUGGGAACUGCAUUUGUGACUGUAUAGCUAGAGUACGGUAGAGGGGGAUGGAAUUCCGCGUGUAGCAGUGAAAUGCGUAGAUAUGCGGAGGAACACCGAUGGCGAAGGCAAUCCCCUGGGCCUGUACUGACGCUCAUGCACGAAAGCGUGGGGA